GAUGAAGAACGUAGCGAAAUGCGAUAAGUAGUGUGAAUUGCAGAAUUCAGUGAAUCAUCGAAUCUUUGAACGCACAUUGCGCCGCUUGGUAAUCCAUGGGGCAUGCCUGUUCGAGCGUCAUUUGUACCUUCAAGCUCUGCUUGGUGUUGGGUGUUUGUCUCGCCUCUGCGUGUAGACUCGCCUCAAAACAAUUGGCAGCCGGCGUAUUGAUUUCGGAGCGCAGUACAUCUCGCGCUUUGCACUCAUAACGACGACGUCCAAAAGUACAUUUUUACACUCUUGACCUCGGAUCAGGUAGGGAUACCCGCUGAACUUAAGCAUAUCAAUAAGCGGAGGA
This 337-nucleotide unclassified non-coding RNA is filed under the name soil metagenome. RNAcentral's name for it is "partial contains 5.8S ribosomal RNA, internal transcribed spacer 2, and large subunit ribosomal RNA". The stretch from base 1 to 120 matches the Rfam family "5.8S ribosomal RNA", at positions 35 to 154 of the family's 154-position model. The record is from RNAcentral.